Molecule: ribosomal RNA, 106 nt
Filed under: uncultured bacterium
Lineage: Bacteria
Description: partial 16S ribosomal RNA
Rfam family: Bacterial small subunit ribosomal RNA
Source: RNAcentral
CCUUGUACANACCGCCCGUCAAGCCACGAAAGCUGGGAGUACUCGAAGUCGUUUGCCUAACCCGCAAGGGAAGGCGAUGCCUACGGUAAGACCAGUGAUUGGGACU